This is a long non-coding RNA of Ailuropoda melanoleuca (giant panda), 2343 nucleotides long. RefSeq lists it as uncharacterized. The transcript is spliced from 3 exons. Lineage: Eukaryota; Metazoa; Chordata; Mammalia; Carnivora; Ursidae. The record is from RefSeq and is a predicted model, not a curated record.
GAAGGGCCCGGAUGAUAGUGGCGAUGGGCUGGAGUUGCCAUCAGCUAAGAUGAGGAAGGCUGAGGACAAAUCAGACUUAUGGAAUGAGAUGGACAUCUCGGUUUUAGAUAUGCUGAAUCUUAAAUACAUACCAAAACAUUUGAGAAGAGAUGACGUUGAGGAAGCAGUGGAAUGAGUGAGUCAAGAAUUCGGUUGACAGGUCUGCACAGUGGAGAAAAAUUUGUGAGUCAUGACCUAGGGAUGGUAUUUAAGGCCAUGAGGUUGCAUGAGAUCACUAAAACGGUGAGUGCUGUUGGAGUAAAACAGACUAAGUCCUAGAGCUGAUGUGUUGCCAGCAGAGGGGACUGAGAAGAUGCAGCCGAGGUAGUAGGAAGACGACCAAGAGGCUCAGGUGGCCUGGAAGCCAAACGAAGAAAGUGUAUUAAGCACGGGAGAGUCAUCUCUAUUACUGAUUGUCAAACAAGAUGGAAAUGUCCGCCUCAAGAAAGAAGCAGAGAGGCACAUCAGGGCUCUAAAUACAUUGAUUCUCAAACUUGGCCGACUUCAAAAUUCCCCACAUACAAAGUCUGGUCAUCUUCAAAAGAAGAUAUUUUGCCCCACCUCUUAUUUAUCUGAAGAAACAAGUACAGUGAAUUAUUCCAAGAACAGCUAGAGUUGCCAUGAGCCUGUAACAGAUGGAAGUCACACCCAGAGCAGAGCGAAGUGGUAAGGACCUGGAGAUAUGGAUGGCAGCACCAUCAGCAUCUGCUCUAUUAUUUAUUCGACAUUAUACGCGCUGUGCUAAAAACUGCAGUUACGAAGUUAAGUAAGAAUGGACUUUCUUUCUUGGAGGAACUCAUAGUCUAGUGGGGAAGCCAGACUUAUAAAUGGACGAUUUCAGUAUAAUAAGUACUCCAUUAGCACAAUGCACAUUUUGAGCAGAGAUGAAUGAAUGAAUCUAGCCUGUGAAGAGGGGGUGGCCAAAGAAGCCUACCUCAAGGCAUGACCCAUAUGCUAAGCCUGUAAGGAAGAGGGAGAGCUAGCCAGACAGAGAAGAUGGUUGAAGAGCAGGCGGGGAAAGGUAUUACAGGCAGAAGAAAUAGCACAAAGGGUAGAGCAAAGCCUGGAAUAACACAGGAGGUGCAAGGGAACCGUGUUCAGAUCCAUAUAUUAACCUGCAGAGUGGGAGGUGGGAGGGAGGCUGGUGAGCUCACAGGUGGCCUUAUGUACUAUGCUGAGUUUGGAAUUCUUUGUAGACAUUGGGAAGUCAUUUAAGAGUCUUACGUUCAUGAUCAGAUUUGCACUUUAGGUCAAUCACCCUGACUGGCUAUCAUCUGUUUCCUGCUAUCACCAGUGACUCUCAUACAUAUGACAUUUUCCCAUGAGUUUAUCCAGUGGUUAUGAGAAAUUACUGGUCAGGGUUUUUUUCCCUACUCAAGAAAACAUGCUAGAAAAUGCAAGUGAGAAGACAUUUUUAUAGGGAUAUGGUACACUGAAAAACUGACCACAGUUCUCUACCCCUCCGUGUAAUCCACGUUCUUUGUAAAGUGACUUUGCUGUUUCUUCCACACGGGGAGUCUGUUUCCUCUACACUUUGAAUCUCAACUGGCUUUGUGCCUUGCUUUGGCCAUCAGAGUGAGGUGGAAGUGACUGUGUGCCGAGGCCACGUGUACUUCUGCUCUCUCCUUGUCUCAACUCCCCUAUAGGAACAGUCCUCACUAGCUUGCUGCAGGAUGAAAGACCAUGCAUGCCAGCCCUGAGUCAGCCCUGUCGUCCAGAUAUGGGAGAGCCCAGCCAAGGGGUGGGCUUUAGCUGACUUAACAGCAGAACAGACACAUGAAAGCAGCAGUCAAGUACAGAAGUGCCUGGCGGAACCCAGCCCAAAUUUCUGACCUGCCGUGAGGGAAAUAAAUGGUUGUUUCAAGCUGCUGAGUUCUGGGGUGGUUGGUUAUCCUGCAAAAACUAACUGGAAGGUUGGAUAAUCCUGCAUCUGCUCUAAUCUAUCAAAGAGUCAAUCAUUUGCAAGCCUUGACACCUUAUCAGUUACAAGUAACAAAGUGCUUCAAACAUGUUGGCAGGUCACAACACAAUGCAAAGGCUGAUAAAGAGCAUUUCUCAAAGUGGACCUUUCUGAAAGGCUUCCGCUUCCGGAAAGAUGGAGCAGACAGGGCUUUUUUAUUCCUCUGAUAAAUACAACCAAAAAUGCUAGACAUUACAUAUAAAACAAAUAAAACUCUGAGAGGUAGACAGAAAGGGCAGACCAGCUAGGGAGCCAUGGGACCUGAGGAAGGACACAAUGGUGCGUGUCCUGGGGUUUCUUUUUGCUUUGUCUAUCCCAGAUUUGGAGCUGAAGAUGCCGGCCAU